AUAUAGGACUUCUCCUUUUCUACCAAGAUUGAUAAAUUUCAUCUAGGAACAUCCUACUCCAAACAGCAAAUCUAGACCUAUUGAAGCUAACAUACACAAUAAGGAUCCGAAUGGCUAGGGACCAAGAGAAUAUAUAGUCAAACCCAGUAGUCUCGCUGCGAAUAGCCAAUGGCACCGCAGAUCAAAGGAUCACUCACACCACUGC
RNAcentral lists this long non-coding RNA (205 nucleotides) under Elaeis guineensis (African oil palm). RNAcentral's name for it is "long non-coding RNA (EGUI_LNC069505)". The record is from RNAcentral. Lineage: Eukaryota; Viridiplantae; Streptophyta; Magnoliopsida; Arecales; Arecaceae.